UACGGAGGGUGCAAGCGUUAAUCGGAAUUACUGGGCGUAAAGCGCACGCAGGCGGUCUGUUAAGUCAGAUGUGAAAUCCCCGGGCUUAACCUGGGAACUGCAUUUGAAACUGGCAGGCUUGAGUCUUGUAGAGGGGGGUAGAAUUCCAGGUGUAGCGGUGAAAUGCGUAGAGAUCUGGAGGAAUACCGGUGGCGAAGGCGGCCCCCUGGACAAAGACUGACGCUCACGUGCGAAAGCGUGGGGAGCAAACA
RNAcentral lists this ribosomal RNA (251 nucleotides) under uncultured Erwinia sp. RNAcentral's name for it is "partial 16S ribosomal RNA". It matches the Rfam family "Bacterial small subunit ribosomal RNA", at positions 524 to 774 of the family's 1533-position model. Lineage: Bacteria; Pseudomonadati; Pseudomonadota; Gammaproteobacteria; Enterobacterales; Erwiniaceae. The record is from RNAcentral.